Lagopus leucura (white-tailed ptarmigan) is the source of this 705-nucleotide long non-coding RNA. RefSeq lists it as uncharacterized. The record is from RefSeq and is a predicted model, not a curated record. NCBI's taxonomy places the organism in Eukaryota, Metazoa, Chordata, Aves, Galliformes, Phasianidae. The transcript is spliced from 4 exons.
UGCACAGCACAGACUGAGCUAGAGCCGAAACAACGAACUGGCCAAAGCUGCAGCCCGUGCUUCCCUCAGAGCAAAGUUGUUCAGGGUACAAGAGGGAUGCAACAUCCUGAGGAUGAGGACACAAAGUUAAGCUCAGCUUGCAACCUUACAUACCUCAGAUCCAUGCCAGCUUCUUGGACAAGUCCUGUCUAGACAGACUUCCAUUUCUCAAGCUUUGCCACUGAAGACCUAAUUUGGACUGGCAUCCCAAUACUGUCUGUCAUCACUGAUUUCUUCUUGGUGGAGGAUCAGAGUGUUGCUUUGGCCUUUGUUUCCCAUCCUGAAGCAGUCUGGGAGUACCAGGAAAGGAGAUUUCUUUCAGAUCUGACUCAGCAUGACCACACACCCCAGGAGCACUCCUGUUCGACUUCAGUCACUCACAUAGGAAGUUCUCAUAUCCUCACUAGACCAAAUGUGUGUGAGCUGUACCCUCUGGUAAGCGUCCAGUUCAUAUAGCUUAAACAGCACUCUUCCAGCUGCUAGGUGUGCUGUAUCAGCUGGAGAUAGCACUCCUCAGGAGCUGGCAGGUAUGAUGCUGGACCUGAAGGUGCUUCAGAUGUUCCUGGGGUGCAGUGCAAGGCUGGGCAAUGUUCUCUGCAAGACAGAUAGGGGUGAUAGACAUUUGUUUUGAUGGGGAUGCUGAGCCCUGCUGCUGCUAGUGCUGUG